CAUGCGAGUCGAGAGGGUUCGGCCCUCGGCAGACUGCUCAGUAACACGUGGAUAAUCUGCCCUUAGGUGGAGGAUAAUCUCGGGAAACUGAGGAUAAUACUCCAUAGGUCUAGGAUGCUGGAAUGCACCUAGGCUUAAAACUCCGGUGCCUAAGGAUGAGUCUGCGGACUAUCAGGUAGUAGUCAGGGUAAUGACCUGACUAGCCUACGACGGAUACGGGUUGUGAGAGCAAUAACCCGGAGACGAUAUCUGAGACACGAUAUCGGGCCCUACGGGGCGCAGCAGGCGCGAAACCUUCACACUGUGCGAAAGCGCGAUGAGGGGAUCCCAAGUGCUUGCUCUUAGGAGUAAGCUGUUUCUCUGUUUAAAACGCAGGGAGAGGAAGGGCUGGGUAAGACGGGUGCCAGCCGCCGCGGUAAUACCUGCAGCUCAAGUGGUGACCGCUAUUAUUGGGCCUAAAACGUUCGUAGCCGGCUGAGUAAAUGCCUGGGUAAAUCGUGCCGCUUAACGGUACGAAUUCCGGGUAGACUGCUUAGCUUGAGACCGGGAGAAGCUAGAGGUACUCCUGGGGUAGGGGUGAAAUCCUGUAAUCCUGGGGGGACCACCAGUGGCGAAGGCGUCUAGCUAGAACGGGUCUGACGGUGAGGAACGAAACCCUGGGGCGCAAACCGGAUUAGAUACCCGGGUAGUCCAGGGCGCAAACGCUGCUUGCUUGAUGUUAGCUGGGCUCCGAGCUCAGCUAGUGUCGGAGUGAAGAUGUUAAGCAAGCUGCCUGGGAAGUACGAUCGCAAGAUUGAAACUUAAAGGAAUUGGCCGGGGGAGCACAGCAACGGGUGGAGCGUGCGGUUUAAUUGGAGUCAACGCCGGAA
RNAcentral lists this ribosomal RNA (869 nucleotides) under uncultured Thermoplasmatales archaeon. Its description in RNAcentral is "bacterial SSU rRNA". It matches the Rfam family "Archaeal small subunit ribosomal RNA", at positions 50 to 923 of the family's 1478-position model. The record is from RNAcentral. Lineage: Archaea; Methanobacteriati; Thermoplasmatota; Thermoplasmata; Thermoplasmatales.